This 252-nucleotide ribosomal RNA is filed under the name uncultured bacterium. Its description in RNAcentral is "partial 16S ribosomal RNA". It matches the Rfam family "Bacterial small subunit ribosomal RNA", at positions 524 to 776 of the family's 1533-position model. The record is from RNAcentral.
GACAGAGGGUGCAAACGUUGUUCGGAAUUACUGGGCGUAAAGCGCGUGUAGGUGGCAAGGCAAGUCGGGUGUGAAAGCCCUGGGCUCAACCCAGGAAGUGCACUCGAUACUGCCUCGCUAGAGUCCCGGAGAGGUUGGUGGAACUCUCGGUGUAGAGGUGAAAUUCGUAGAUAUCGAGAAGAACACCGGUGGCGAAGGCGGCCAACUGGACGGUGACUGACACUGAGACGCGAAAGCGUGGGAGCAAACAGG